RNAcentral lists this long non-coding RNA (413 nucleotides) under Homo sapiens (human). RNAcentral describes it as "TMCC1 divergent transcript". The record is from RNAcentral. Lineage: Eukaryota; Metazoa; Chordata; Mammalia; Primates; Hominidae.
AAUCCCCGUGGACCAAAUCAACUGCCAAUUUGGAUAUCAUCGAGGCACCUGAAACCUUAUCAUGAGCCUGAUGCUGAGGAAUAGAUUCUGGGAGGAUCCCGAGGAUCCCCUGGUUGCAGCCAUGUUGAGACUGACGCUGAGGGGGACCCCAACUGUCACGAGCAACACCCAUCGAACGCAGCCACCUACCUGGGGACAGAUCAAGAAGCUGUCACAGAUGGCAGAAGAAAACCUAAGAUUGGAGAGGAUGAAGGCCCUGAGGUCCAAGAACAUGGAAACCUGACAGUGGACGCCAACAGCUGUGGAGAGAAGCCGGGCGACAGCUGUGGAGAGAAGCCGGGCGAUAUGCUCACGCUUCCGUGUGCCCAGCAAUCCUGCUUUAUCUUUUUAAAUAAAGGUGAUUCCUGAUAACA